RNAcentral lists this ribosomal RNA (1352 nucleotides) under uncultured bacterium. Its description in RNAcentral is "bacterial SSU rRNA". It matches the Rfam family "Bacterial small subunit ribosomal RNA", at positions 28 to 1381 of the family's 1533-position model. The record is from RNAcentral.
AUUGAACGCUGGCGGCAUGCCUUACACAUGCAAGUCGAACGGCAGCACGGAGCUUGCUCUGGUGGCGAGUGGCGAACGGGUGAGUAAUAUAUCGGAACGUACCCUAGAGUGGGGGAUAACGUAGCGAAAGUUACGCUAAUACCGCAUACGAUCUAAGGAUGAAAGUGGGGGAUCGCAAGACCUCAUGCUCGUGGAGCGGCCGAUAUCUGAUUAGCUAGUUGGUAGGGUAAAAGCCUACCAAGGCAUCGAUCAGUAGCUGGUCUGAGAGGACGACCAGCCACACUGGAACUGAGACACGGUCCAGACUCCUACGGGAGGCAGCAGUGGGGAAUUUUGGACAAUGGGCGAAAGCCUGAUCCAGCAAUGCCGCGUGAGUGAAGAAGGCCUUCGGGUUGUAAAGCUCUUUUGUCAGGGAAGAAACGGUGAGAGCUAAUAUCUCUUGCUAAUGACGGUACCUGAAGAAUAAGCACCGGCUAACUACGUGCCAGCAGCCGCGGUAAUACGUAGGGUGCAAGCGUUAAUCGGAAUUACUGGGCGUAAAGCGUGCGCAGGCGGUUUUGUAAGUCUGAUGUGAAAUCCCCGGGCUCAACCUGGGAAUUGCAUUGGAGACUGCAAGGCUAGAAUCUGGCAGAGGGGGGUAGAAUUCCACGUGUAGCAGUGAAAUGCGUAGAUAUGUGGAGGAACACCGAUGGCGAAGGCAGCCCCCUGGGUCAAGAUUGACGCUCAUGCACGAAAGCGUGGGGAGCAAACAGGAUUAGAUACCCUGGUAGUCCACGCCCUAAACGAUGUCUACUAGUUGUCGGGUCUUAAUUGACUUGGUAACGCAGCUAACGCGUGAAGUAGACCGCCUGGGGAGUACGGUCGCAAGAUUAAAACUCAAAGGAAUUGACGGGGACCCGCACAAGCGGUGGAUGAUGUGGAUUAAUUUGAUGCAACGCGAAAAACCUUACCUACCCUUGACAUGGCUGGAAUCCUCGAGAGAUUGAGGAGUGCUCGAAAGAGAACCAGUACACAGGUGCUGCAUGGCUGUCGUCAGCUCGUGUCGUGAGAUGUUGGGUUAAGUCCCGCAACGAGCGCAACCCUUGUCAUUAGUUGCUACGAAAGGGCACUCUAAUGAGACUGCCGGUGACAAACCGGAGGAAGGUGGGGAUGACGUCAAGUCCUCAUGGCCCUUAUGGGUAGGGCUUCACACGUCAUACAAUGGUACAUACAGAGCGCCGCCAACCCGCGAGGGGGAGCUAAUCGCAGAAAGUGUAUCGUAGUCCGGAUUGUAGUCUGCAACUCGACUGCAUGAAGUUGGAAUCGCUAGUAAUCGCGGAUCAGCAUGUCGCGGUGAAUACGUUCCCGGGUCU